This 88-nucleotide ribosomal RNA is filed under the name uncultured bacterium. RNAcentral's name for it is "partial 16S ribosomal RNA". The record is from RNAcentral.
UGAUGGAAAGGCCCUAGGGUUGUAAAAGCUCUUUUGUGCGGGAAGAUAAUGACGGUACCGCAAGAAUAAGCCCCGGCUAACUUCGUGC